GACGAACGCUGGCGGCGUGCCUAAUACAUGCAAGUUGAGCGCUGAAGGUUGGUACUUGUACCGACUGGAUGAGCAGCGAACGGGUGAGUAACGCGUGGGGAAUCUGCCUUUGAGCGGGGGACAACAUUUGGAAACGAAUGCUAAUACCGCAUAAAAACUUUAAACACAAGUUUUAAGUUUGAAAGAUGCAAUUGCAUCACUCAAAGAUGAUCCCGCGUUGUAUUAGCUAGUUGGUGAGGUAAAGGCUCACCAAGGCGAUGAUACAUAGCCGACCUGAGAGGGUGAUCGGCCACAUUGGGACUGAGACACGGCCCAAUCUCCUACGGGAGGCAGCAGUAGGGAAUCUUCGGCAAUGGACGAGAGUCUGACCGAGCAACGCCGCGUGAGUGAAGAAGGUUUUCGGGUCGUAAAACUCUGUUGGUGGGGAAGAACGUUGGUGAGAGUGGAAAGCUCAUCAAGUGACGGUAACUACCCAAAAAGGGACGGCUAACUACGUG
RNAcentral lists this ribosomal RNA (497 nucleotides) under uncultured bacterium. RNAcentral describes it as "partial 16S ribosomal RNA". It matches the Rfam family "Bacterial small subunit ribosomal RNA", at positions 28 to 507 of the family's 1533-position model. The record is from RNAcentral.